Molecule: ribosomal RNA, 251 nt
Filed under: uncultured microorganism
Description: partial small subunit ribosomal RNA
Rfam family: Bacterial small subunit ribosomal RNA
Source: RNAcentral
ACGUAGGGGGCGAGCGUUAUCCGGAUUCAUUGGGCGUAAAGCGCUCGUAGGCGGUCCGUCUGGUCGGGUGUCAAAUCCGGGGGCUCAACCCCCGUUCGCAUCCGAUACCGGCGGACUUGAGUUUGGUAGGGGAAGGCGGAAUUCCAAGUGUAGCGGUGGAAUGCGCAGAUAUUUGGAAGAACACCGGUGGCGAAGGCGGCCUUCUGGGCCACAACUGACGCUGAGGAGCGAAAGCUAGGGGAGCGAACAGG